CUACGGCUCGCAGCAGUGGGGAAUAUUGGACAAUGGGGGAAACCCUGAUCCAGCAAUGCCGCGUGUGUGAAGAAGGCCUGCGGGUUGUAAAGCACUUUCGGUUGGGAGGACUGCUUCUAGCACUAAUAUUGUUGGAAGUUGACGUUACCUUCAGAAGAAGCACCGGCUAACUCCGUGCCAGCAGCCGCGGUGAAUACGGAGGGUGCAAGCGUUAAUCGGAAUUACUGGGCGUAAAGCGCGCGUAGGCGGCUAGAUCAGUCGGGUGUGAAAGCCCCGGGCUUAACCUGGGAACUGCAUCCGAUACUGUCUAGCUUGAGUACAGGAGAGGAGAGUGGAAUUCCACAUGUAGCGGUGAAAUGCGUAGAUAUGUGGAGGAACACCAAUGGCGAAGGCAGCUCUCUGGCCUGAUACUGACGCUGAGGUGCGAAAGCGUGGGGAGCAAACAGGAUUAGAUACCCCGGUAGUC
RNAcentral lists this ribosomal RNA (466 nucleotides) under uncultured bacterium. Its description in RNAcentral is "partial 16S ribosomal RNA". It matches the Rfam family "Bacterial small subunit ribosomal RNA", at positions 339 to 795 of the family's 1533-position model. The record is from RNAcentral.